This 471-nucleotide ribosomal RNA is filed under the name uncultured Rhodocyclaceae bacterium. RNAcentral's name for it is "bacterial SSU rRNA". It matches the Rfam family "Bacterial small subunit ribosomal RNA", at positions 916 to 1381 of the family's 1533-position model. Lineage: Bacteria; Pseudomonadati; Pseudomonadota; Betaproteobacteria; Rhodocyclales; Rhodocyclaceae. The record is from RNAcentral.
AGACGGGACCCGCACAAGCGGUGGAUGAUGUGGAUUAAUUCGAUGCAACGCGAAAACCUUUACCUACCCUUGACAUGUCCGGAAUCCCGAAGAGAUUUGGGAGUGCUCGCAGGAGAGCCGGAACACAGGUGCUGCAUGGCUGUCGUCAGCUCGUGUCGUGAGAUGUUGGGUUAAGUCCCGCAACGAGCGCAACCCUUGUCAUUAGUUGCCAUCAUUUGGUUGGGCACUCUAAUGAGACUGCCGGUGACAAACCGGAGGAAGGUGGGGAUGACGUCAAGUCCUCAUGGCCCUUAUGGGUAGGGCUUCACACGUCAUACAAUGGUCGGUACAGAGGGUUGCCAACCCGCGAGGGGGAGCUAAUCCCACAAAGCCGAUCGUAGUCCGGAUCGCAGUCUGCAACUCGACUGCGUGAAGUCGGAAUCGCUAGUAAUCGCGGAUCAGCAUGUCGCGGUGAAUACGUUCCCGGGUCUU